GUCUUCUCACUGAGCUCCUUUCUGUCAAUUGGUGGCAGCUUACGGAUUCGCAAGAGAAGAAGAGACAAUUCACAGAACUAGCAUUAUCUUACCUUCUGUCUUUACAGAGGUAUGUUUGCUGUUUUGUGAGACAUCU
Small nucleolar RNA from Oryctolagus cuniculus (rabbit), 136 nucleotides. Its record names the gene SNORA75. It matches the Rfam family "Small nucleolar RNA SNORA75". From Rfam's summary of the family: U23 belongs to the H/ACA class of snoRNAs. snoRNAs bind a number of proteins (including dyskerin, Gar1p and Nop10p in the case of the H/ACA class) to form snoRNP complexes. This class are thought to guide the sites of modification of uridines to pseudouridines by forming direct base pairing interactions with substrate RNAs. The record is from Ensembl. NCBI's taxonomy places the organism in Eukaryota, Metazoa, Chordata, Mammalia, Lagomorpha, Leporidae.